AGGACAGAACAUGGACACAAUGCAAUUGGGAUCAAGAAGAAGGACUGGAGACCACAGCAGCGAUUCUGCUCUUGCCCUACCUCUUCAAUGAGGACCCGAGUGGCCUUUAUGUCCGUGACAAGAUUUCACCGCUCUUCACUCCUUUACUGCACAUCGGUGGAAAUCCAUUUCACCAUGAGAGUGAAAUCCCACUGGCCUUUGAUGGGGAGAACAUCCACGCCCUCGAGGACGUCCCCAUGGGACUUCGGGCUCUGCUAGGGCUGUAUUUUUUAUUUUCCCGUAAAUUUCCCAAAAUGUCAGAAAAACACUUAUGUUGUUAAGUUACUGUGUUCUGGGGAUAAGAGAAGUUGGGGUGAAGUUACCAGGGCCGGUCAUAAAGAUGGUAAACUUCCUAACAUAACUAAGUGGAUACGAUAUACACACUAAAGCUGAAAAAUCUGUAUUUAGCAUCAAGUCUACAAUGUUGUUAGUUUACCUAUGAUUCAUUUUUAAUGUAUGUUUUUAUUGUACAUCA
Non-coding RNA from Salvelinus sp. IW2-2015, 514 nucleotides. The record is from RefSeq and is a predicted model, not a curated record. NCBI's taxonomy places the organism in Eukaryota, Metazoa, Chordata, Actinopteri, Salmoniformes, Salmonidae.